This is a long non-coding RNA of Saccostrea cuccullata (small rock oyster), 820 nucleotides long. RefSeq lists it as uncharacterized. The transcript is spliced from 3 exons. The record is from RefSeq and is a predicted model, not a curated record. NCBI's taxonomy places the organism in Eukaryota, Metazoa, Mollusca, Bivalvia, Ostreida, Ostreidae.
UUGAAAGUGUUUUUGUAGUGGAGUAUCCAUACCAAAUAUGAAGUCUCUAAGUCUCAUGGUUCAAAAGUUAUGGCGAAGGUUAAAGUUGACAACAGACAAACAAACAGACAGACAUACAGCUAAACAGACAGACAGGACAAAAACAAUAUGCGCCCAUAAAAAAAUUUGGGUGCAUAAAAACUGUCUUGGAGUUAACAGCAGUUCUCUGUUUCUCCUGAAUGUUAUGUACAAUUUGAUCGGGAUCGGAAGAAUGUUUCAAAAAGUCGGGCUCAGUGAUCAAUUAAUUUAAACAACAGACCGCCAAAAUUUAACCUUGGCCUCCAUGUUGCAACGUCUGCUCUGCCUAAAGGAAGAAGUUUGUUGACCAGACAGCCUGAGAUCGUAUUGCUGUAUCAACCAAAAGAUGCAGAUACACGUAUUUCAUAUGUGCGUCUGUGCAUGAGGAGGAGAUUUCUGAAAAAGAAUAAGUGCUCAUUCAACUUACUGCGAUUUUAACGGGCUUAAAGCUUGGUCCAUGGAUGGUUAUGUUUGAGGAUUUGCCAAUUCGACCGCAAGUGCUGCUGCAAGAAAUUAAACAUGCAGAGACCUUACAAAUUACAAAGAAGUCUGAAGAAAAUUUUUAUUGGACAGAUGGGUGUAAAGCAAAGACCUGAGAUAUAAAUUGAAUUGUGAGAAAUAUGAAUCAGGGAUGCAGGUAGAAAAUGGCAAAUGUGAUCCAGAUUGAUAAAAAAUGUCUAAAAAUUUUUCUUGUUUUGUAAAUAUUCAAUGCUAUGUCAAUUGUUAUUUUUUCCCCAAUACCUAAUAGUGUUGAACAUUUCAC